This 490-nucleotide ribosomal RNA is filed under the name uncultured bacterium. Its description in RNAcentral is "partial 16S ribosomal RNA". It matches the Rfam family "Bacterial small subunit ribosomal RNA", at positions 30 to 507 of the family's 1533-position model. The record is from RNAcentral.
AGCGAACGCUGGCGGUAGGCCUAACACAUGCAAGUCGAACGGCAGCACAGGAGUGCUUGCUCUCUGGGUGGUGAGUGGCGGGCGGGUGAGGCAUACAUCGGAAUCUGCUCAGUCGUGGGGGAUAACGUAGGAAAACUUACGCUAAUACCGCAUACGACCUUCGGGUGAGAGAGGGGGGGCGCAAGACCUCUCGCGGUGGGAUGAGCCGGUGUCGGCUGAGCUAGUUGGCGGGGUAAUGGUCCACCAAGGCGACGAGCCGUAGCUGGUCUGAGAGGAUGAUCAGCCACACUGGAGCUGAGACACGGUCCAGGGUCCUACGGGAGGCAGCAGUGGGGAAUAUUGGACAAUGGGCGCAAGCCUGAUCCAGCCAUACCGCGUGGGUGAAGAAGGCCUUCGGGUUGUAAAGCCCUUUUGUUGGGAAAGAAAUCUUUCAGGCUAAUACCCUGGGAGGAUGACGGUACCCAAAGAAUAAGCACCGGCUAACUUCGUG